GACGUAGGAGACGAGCGUUGUCCGGAUUUACUGGGCGUAAAGCGCGCGCGGGCGGCCCCGCAGGUCGGUUGUGAAAGCCCCCGGCUCAACCGGGCGGAGGCGAGCGAAACCGCGGGGCUGGAGGCUGGCAGAGGGUGGUGGAAUUCCCGGUGUAGUGGUGAAAUGCGUAGAGAUCGGGAGGAACACCCGCGGCGAAGGCGGCCACCUGGACCAGGCCUGACGCUGAGGCGCGAAGGCCGGGGGAGCGAACGGG
RNAcentral lists this ribosomal RNA (253 nucleotides) under uncultured bacterium. RNAcentral describes it as "partial 16S ribosomal RNA". It matches the Rfam family "Bacterial small subunit ribosomal RNA", at positions 524 to 776 of the family's 1533-position model. The record is from RNAcentral.